Molecule: ribosomal RNA, 497 nt
Filed under: uncultured bacterium
Lineage: Bacteria
Description: partial 16S ribosomal RNA
Rfam family: Bacterial small subunit ribosomal RNA
Source: RNAcentral
GAUGAACGCUGGCGGCGUGCCUAAUACAUGCAAGUCGAGCGAACAGAUAAGGAGCUUGCUCCUUUGACGUUAGCGGCGGACGGGUGAGUAACACGUGGGUAACCUACCUAUAAGACUGGGAUAACUUCGGGAAACCGGAGCUAAUACCGGAUAAUAUUUCGAACCGCAUGGUUCGAUAGUGAAAGAUGGUUUUGCUAUCACUUAUAGAUGGACCCGCGCCGUAUUAGCUAGUUGGUAAGGUAGCGGCUUACCAAGGCGACGAUACGUAGCCGACCUGAGAGGGUGAUCGGCCACACUGGAACUGAGACACGGUCCAGACUCCUACGGGAGGCAGCAGUAGGGAAUCUUCCGCAAUGGGCGAAAGCCUGACGGAGCAACGCCGCGUGAGUGAUGAAGGUCUUCGGAUCGUAAAACUCUGUUAUUAGGGAAGAACAUACGUGUAAGUAACUGUGCACGUCUUGACGGUACCUAAUCAGAAAGCCACGGCUAACUACGUG